Molecule: ribosomal RNA, 492 nt
Filed under: uncultured bacterium
Lineage: Bacteria
Description: partial 16S ribosomal RNA
Rfam family: Bacterial small subunit ribosomal RNA
Source: RNAcentral
AGUGAGCGCUGGCGGUAGGCCUAACACAUGCAAGUCGAACGGCAGCACAGUAAGAGCUUGCUCUUACGGGUGGCGAGUGGCGGACGGGUGAGGAAUACAUCGGAAUCUACUUUUUCGUGGGGGAUAACGUAGGGAAACUUACGCUAAUACCGCAUACGACCUACGGGUGAAAGCAGGGGAUCUUCGGACCUUGCGCGAUUGAACGAGCCGAUGUCGGAUUAGCUAGUUGGCGGGGUAAAGGCCCACCAAGGCGACGACCCGUAGCUGGUCUGAGAGGAUGAUCAGCCACACUGGAACUGAGACACGGUCCAGACUCCUACGGGAGGCAGCAGUGGGGAAUAUUGGACAAUGGGCGCAAGCCUGAUCCAGCCAUACCGCGUGGGUGAAGAAGGCCUUCGGGUUGUAAAGCCCUUUUGUUGGGAAAGAAAAGCAGCAGGUUAAUACCCCGCUGUUCUGACGGUACCCAAAGAAUAAGCACCGGCUAACUUCGUG